RNAcentral lists this ribosomal RNA (411 nucleotides) under uncultured bacterium. Its description in RNAcentral is "partial 16S ribosomal RNA". It matches the Rfam family "Bacterial small subunit ribosomal RNA", at positions 355 to 779 of the family's 1533-position model. The record is from RNAcentral.
UGGGGAAUAUUGGACAAUGGGGCGCAAGCCUGAUCCAGCCAUGCCGCGUGAGUGAUGAAGGCCCUAGGGUUGUAAAGCUCUUUCACCGGUGAAGAUAAUGACGGUAACCGGAGAAGAAGCCCCGGCUAACUUCGUGCCAGCAGCCGCGGUAAUACGAAGGGGGCUAGCGUUGUUCGGGAUUUUACUGGGCGUAAAGCGCACGUAGGCGGACUUUUAAGUCAGGGGUGAAAUCCCGGGGCUCAACCCCGGAACUGCCUUUGAUACUGGAAGUCUUGAGUAUGGUAGAGGUGAGUGGAAUUCCGAGUGUAGAGGUGAAAUUCGUAGAUAUUCGGGGGGAACACCAGUGGCGAAGGCGGCUCACUGGACCAUUACUGACGCUGAGGUGCGAAAGCGUGGGGAGCAAACAGGAUU